GCUCAGAACGUACGCUGGCGGCACGCCUAACACAUGCAAGUCGAACGAAGUAGCAAUACUUAGUGGCAGACGGGUGAGUAACAUGUAGGUAUCUGCCCUUUGGCCUGGAAUAACACGAGGAAACUUGUGCUAAUACCGGAUAAGUCUUUACGGAGAAAGCUUUAUGCACCAUUGGAUGAGCCUGCACUUGAUUAGUUUGUUGGUGGGGUAAUGGCCUACCAAGACUUUGAUCAAUAGCUGAUUUGAGAGGAUGAUCAGCCACAUUGGGACUGAGACACGGCCCAAACUCCUACGGGAGGCAGCAGUGGGGAAUCUUGCACAAUGGAGGAAACUCUGAUGCAGCGAUGCCGCGUGAGUGAAGAAGGCCCUUGGGUUGUAAAGCUCUUUCGUCGGGGAAGAAAAUGACUGUACCCGAAUAAGAAGGUCCGGCUAACUUCGUGCCAGCAGCCGCGGUAAUACGAAGGGACCUAGCGUAGUUCGGAAUUACUGGGCUUAAAGAGUUCGUAGGUGGUUGAAAAAGUUGGUGGUGAAAUCCCAGAGCUUAACUCUGGAACUGCCAUCAAAACUUUUCAGCUAGAGUAUGAUAGAGGAAAGCAGAAUUUCUAGUGUAGAGGUGAAAUUCGUAGAUAUUAGAAAGAAUACCAAUUGCGAAGGCAGCUUUCUGGAUCAUUACUGACACUGAGGAACGAAAGCAUGGGUAGCGAAGAGGAUUAGAUACCCUCGUAGUCCAUGCCGUAAACGAUGUGUGUUAGACGUUGGAAAUUUAUUUUCAGUGUCGCAGCGAAAGCGAUAAACACACCGCCUGGGGAGUACGACCGCAAGGUUAAAACUCAAAUGAAUUGACGGGGACCCGCACAAGUAGUGGAGCAUGUGGUUUAAUUCGAAGAUACGCGCAGAACCUUACCAACACUUGACAUGUUCGUCGCGACUUUAAGAGAUUAAAGUUUUCGGUUCGGCCGGACGAAACACAGGUGCUGCAUGGCUGUCGUCAGCUCGUGUCGUGAGAUGUUGGGUUAAGUCCCGCAACGAGCGCAACCCUCACUUUUAGUUGCCAUCAUUAAGUUGGGCACUCUGAAAGAACUGCCAGUGAUAAGCUGGAGGAAGGUGGGGAUGACGUCAAGUCCUCAUGGCCCUUACGUGUUGGGCUACACACGUGCUACAAUGGUAUCUACAACAGGAAGCAAGACGGCGACGUCAAGCAAAUCCUUAAAAGAUACCUCAGUUCGGAUUGCACUCUGCAACUCGAGUGCAUGAAGCUGGAAUUACUAGUAAUCGUGGAUCAGCGUGCCACGGUGAAUGCGUUCCCGGGUCUUGUACACACCGCCCGUCACACCAUGGGAGUUGGUUCUACCUUAAGGCAAGGUUUAAAAUCCUUGACCACGGUAUAGUCAGCGACUGGGGUGAAGUCGUAACAAGGUAGCCGUAGGGGAACCUGCGGCUG
RNAcentral lists this ribosomal RNA (1441 nucleotides) under marine metagenome. RNAcentral describes it as "bacterial SSU rRNA". It matches the Rfam family "Bacterial small subunit ribosomal RNA". The record is from RNAcentral.